CACAUCUUUCCUAUUCAGACAGUGAGUGAGUAAGAGAGAGAUCUUCUCAAAAGAGGGUAUUGGAUUAGUCUGGGUCUCACCAGCUGCUACUGAAGAUAAGCUACCAGGACUGUUGUCACCUGAAUUGCUUUUAUUAUUUUUCAUGCACUAUUCCUCAGCCAUUGGGCAGGCUGCUGCCAUCACCACUCCUGCCCACUUUUCUUACUAAGUGUUAUUUUAAGAACUGGAAAUCAUGAAGGAGAAAAAAAAUCAGAAGAGGAACUUAAAUGAUGAUAAAACCAAAGAGAUGCAUAUAGAUCAGAAUGGCCACUGGCAAGUGAGUGCUGUCAUGUUAAGAACAUAGAAAGUUGCCUUACACUGUCAGACCACAGCUUAGUACAGUCUACACCAGCUCUCUCCAAGCUGGUGCCCGCCCUCCAGAUGCUUUGGACUGCACUCCCAUCAACCCCUGCAACACGGCUGGACAGGAAGUACAGCGAUUCCCUUUUCUGCAGUACAUAACAAUACAGCAAGCUCAGAUCAGAAUUCCAAGUCUGAGAGCAUUCUUAAUUGUAAUAAAACUAAAGGCUAUAUGGACAUUUGUGACCAGAUAAUCUCUACAUCCACUUCCAAUCACAUCACCAAACAGAGGCUAACGGGUGUUUUCCCCCCUUCUUCUUCAAAUAUGGUGGGCAAUGCCAGAUUAAAUGCAAUGUUAUACCUGUUAUACUUGUGCAACUUUGUAAUUAUGUUUUAUGUAUGUUAAUAAGGUAUUUUUUAUAUUUAAAAACCUG
Rhineura floridana is the source of this 773-nucleotide long non-coding RNA. RefSeq lists it as uncharacterized. The record is from RefSeq and is a predicted model, not a curated record. The transcript has 3 exons. NCBI's taxonomy places the organism in Eukaryota, Metazoa, Chordata, Lepidosauria, Squamata, Rhineuridae.